This 254-nucleotide ribosomal RNA is filed under the name uncultured bacterium. RNAcentral describes it as "partial 16S ribosomal RNA". It matches the Rfam family "Bacterial small subunit ribosomal RNA", at positions 524 to 776 of the family's 1533-position model. The record is from RNAcentral.
UACGUAGGGGGCGAGCGUUGUCCGGAUUCAUUGGGCGUAAAGCGCGCGCAGGCGGUGGCGUGAGCCCGGCGUGAAAGCCCCCCAGCUCAACUGGGGGAGGCCGUCGGAGACCGCGGCACUUGAGGCCGGUAGGGGAGAGCGGAAUUCCCGGUGUAGUGGUGGAAUGCGUAGAUAUCGGGAGGAACACCAGUGGCGAAGGCGGCUCUCUGGACCGGUUCUGACGCUCAGGCGCGAAAGCCAGGGGAGCGAACGGG